CGAAGAGUCGGUCCUAGUUUUAAUCUUUCUGAAACGGGCAACCAGUAUUUUGCGAAUUUUGAACGUCCACUCUCCAUUAGCGUGAUAAUCAUAACGAUUAAGUCUCAAUUGAAAUAAUUUAUGCAACAAAAAUACAAAUGACAAACCUUGAGGAGCGAUGUAUCGAUUAAUUAUAUGUACCUGAUCCCGGGAUUCCCAUAUUAACGUAAUCAGCAUUUAUAUAAUCACCGUCUUGACCGUUCUUUAAUACCAAACGUGUAGCAUCAUCUACGAUAAAAAGUUGAUUUAAAUUAAACUCGAAACAUUCAAUAAAUUUUUAAUCUAAACUUACAAGCAGAAAUAUUGCGAUAUCUAUUUUUACCUAUUCAUAUUUUUACAUUUUUCCGACUCAUCACAACUCAUUUCGGGCUUUUUAAUUGAUACAAUUGUUCGAACUACACCAGCAAAGAUCUACUCGCCCAGCCAUUGACCAGUAAAAGCACUGACUGCUCCAGCGUUCCAGCUUCUCUUUGCAUCUCAGAUAAAGGUGACUCAAGUACAUAUUGAUAUGGAGUCUCUUCUUGACCAUCGGGCUCGCACAUAACUAAUCGACAUACAUACAAAGAUAAUGAUGGUUAUUUGUUAGCACAACUAUACUUACAAUAAGUGAUAAAAUUUUACAUCUCAAAGAACAAUAACGAAAACCCAGUCCGUUGGGCAAAGAAAACGCAAAUCGUGGAUACAUGGAUUUGAAUACGUAAUUCGUGAUCAAUAGCAGACACAAUACUAAGUUUAAGCUUUACUUUAAUAAUCUAAACAUACGAACAUUAGUAUUAAUACGGAAGAAUUGAUGUAAUUCGAAAUAUGU
This is a long non-coding RNA of Planococcus citri (citrus mealybug), 847 nucleotides long. RefSeq lists it as uncharacterized. The record is from RefSeq and is a predicted model, not a curated record. Lineage: Eukaryota; Metazoa; Arthropoda; Insecta; Hemiptera; Pseudococcidae. The transcript has 2 exons.